CAAGAAGAGAGGGAAUUAUGAAUCAACAUCAAAGAGAGGAAGAAGAGGGAAUUAUGAAACAACAUCAAAGAAAGGAAGAAGAGAGAAAGAAGAGAUGAGGAAAUAGGAGAGGAAGAAGAGAUGAGAGAAUAGAGAGAGUUAUAUUUGUACUCUCAUUAUUUCAGAUUAUAAAUGAAAACACCACUGCUGUUCCGAAAACUUACUCCAGUCACAUUGACUAUAGAGAUGAACGCCUUCCAUCGGUUCUCUACUUCACGGCUUGUGGUUGCAAGAAAAGUAUGUCUAAGUCGUGAUCCAUGAAUUUACUUUCAUUUUUGUUGUUGCAUUUGAUCAUCAUUAUAUGAAUGGUCAUUUUUGUUUCUUUUAUUUUCCAAGUAAUGAAUUUACUUACUUGUUGGUCAAUGGGCAAUGGGCAGUGCAGCCUCUAAAUGGAUACAUCCAUUCUUUCCUGAAUUGUGUGAGCGGUUUAAACAUAUAACAAUAUAUGUUUUUCCCCUGCCACCCAAGGCAGAGGGCACCCUUGUCUCAAUGCACUUGUUGGGUCUUAAGUCGGUACAUGACUCAAUCCUUUGUAUUUUGUUUGAUUGCAAAUGUCUACUUGUUACUUCAUUUAUCACUCAACCCUGAUUGUAAGAUGUAUAGUACCUAAACAAGAUAAGACAGUAGCAAGACUGAUCGUAAAAACAAUAAUGCGAAGUACCUAAACAAGAUAAGAUAGCAACAUGGAUGCAUGCCUAUACAGUUAACGGUCUUGGAUAUUAAUUCAUACCAGAAAGAAAUUUAUUUUAUCAUAAUUCAAGAACUUGAGCUAGGAUACUUGGCUGACAACAAACUGCUCUUGGAUAUUAAUCCAUUUUCAGUUACCAAUUGGAAUGUAUCGUCCAUUUUCAUGUAGACAUGCAAGGCUGAUAAUAAAAUGCAUAGUACCUAAACAAGAUAAGACAGUAGCAAGACUGAUUGUAAAAACAAUAAUGCAAAGUAUCUAAACAAGAUAAGAUAGCAACAUGGAUGCAUGCCUAUACCUUCACUCUUCCUCACCAUACAUCAAAUCUGGCUUGUAUUGGUGCAGUGCCAUAAGCAUGAUAUUUUCAUGAGCUUCAAAAGCGCAUGUCAAAUCCCUGUCAAUUACGUGUGCCUCAACAUCCUGUAAAAACAAACAAUUUUCUGAAUUGAUUACAUAAAAAUACCGAAAGUAACUUCGUAGUUAAAAAAAAGCAUACUAACAUGAGUGAAGUGAUCUGCUAUGUUGCGUGCAGUAAUCAAAUAUUGUACUGCGCAUUCAGAUUGACGAUUCCACAUGUAUGUAUCCUUUCUACUUGAACCCAUGUAGGCAUUCCCUAGCAAGACAUUCCACGGCGGAAUAGAAGCAUUAAUUCCAUGAGAUAGAAAGACUCUAUAUCCAUGAGUAGGUACAACAUAGUUAGCAAAAAAAAAGUGAUUCCCUAAAAUCCUUUUCUCUAGGAGAUGCCUAACAAAAAAUGCCCUUCAUGAUAUUCUGACAUCUGAAGUCAUCAGAGAAUGGUGGUUUCGCAGCAAAUUCUUUAUAGAUCUAUGAAAUAAAUAAACAAUUAUGCAAUUAUAAUUAUAAAAAGCAAUAAAUAUCUACUCAAAAGUUAACGCAAUAAACAAUUCAAAACCCAACUUGCACGUUUGACUCCAAACAAAUAAACAAAUCAUUAAGUAUCUGAGAAAAUGUUCCUCCAAACAGGGGCUGUAGCGCCUUACGUAAAUCAUUUAUAUCAUCAGCAUCAUCAUUCGCUAUAUGAGCAUCCUUACGGUGUAAGGUUACCAUUCUCCUACUAUUCCAGUGGAUCAUCAUUUGAACAUUCGCUUAGAAAACUUAUUUUGGAAUGGUAGGAGAGUUGUAACCUUACACCGUAAGGAUGCUCAUAUAACAGAUGAUGAUGCUAAUGAUAUAAAUGAUUUACGUAAGGCGUUGAAGCCCCUGUUUGGAGGAACACUUCUUCAGAUACUUAAUGAUUUGUUUAUUUGUUUGGAGUCAAACUAUAAGUUGGGUUUUGAAUUGUUUAUGCGUUACCUUUUGAGUCGAUAUUUAUUGCUUCUUAAUAAUUAUACUUGCAUACUUGUUUAUUUAUUUCAUAGAUUUGCAAAGUAUUUGCUGCGAAACCACCAUUCUAUGAUGACUUCAGAAACCAUAAUAUCACGGAAGACAUUUUUUGUUAGGCAUCUUCUAGAGAAAAUGAUUCGAGGGAAUCAGAUCUAGAGUCUUUUUAUCUCAUGGAAUUGAUGCUUCUAUCCCGCCGUGGAAGGCCUUGCUGGGGAAUGCCUACAUGGGUUCAAGUAAGAAGGAUAUAU
Non-coding RNA from Malus domestica (apple), 2316 nucleotides. The record is from RefSeq and is a predicted model, not a curated record. NCBI's taxonomy places the organism in Eukaryota, Viridiplantae, Streptophyta, Magnoliopsida, Rosales, Rosaceae.